AGGCUGGAAGCAUGCUUCUGCCAUGGCUGAUCAAUGGGAGGAAAUUGUGCCUUCAGUUUUAAAUCACUCUUGGUCAGAAGGAUACCUGCACCCUCUGUGCCUUUUACAGCUACUGUUUAUGGCUCUGCCCAUGAAAAAUAUAUCCCUAACUCCUCUGUACCCAGGCCCUGCCCAGUGGGAGAUACAUCAUCAGCUCCUCCAUACCCAGUCCAGAGCUGUCCUUUUGACCCAGAAGAAACUCAAAGGAGGAGAUACGUCUGAUCCAUCUCUGUCAAGGCUCUUCCCUCUUCUCCUGGGUAGCCAUGGGGGACCAUGGCACAGGAAGCCAUCUAGGAAGAAAGCCCCAAGUCAAUUGUCUGCCAUUCGUGAAGCUGGCCUAGCCUUGCUCAGGCUACAAUAUCUCAGGGAGGACCUGAUAUCAGCAACCCACUCAGAACACUCCUCCAUGGCACAUCCCAUGGUGGCCCAGCUCCACUGACUGCUAUGUGUUUCAUCUUGCGAAAGGCCUCACUCAGAGGAGGACAGCAAAUAAAGAAGUGGCCUGGCCACA
Molecule: long non-coding RNA, 550 nt
Filed under: Mus spicilegus (steppe mouse)
Lineage: Eukaryota; Metazoa; Chordata; Mammalia; Rodentia; Muridae
Description: lncRNA (ENSMSIG00000002143.1)
Source: RNAcentral